RNAcentral lists this ribosomal RNA (1101 nucleotides) under Salmonella enterica subsp. enterica serovar Anatum. Its description in RNAcentral is "partial 23S ribosomal RNA". It matches the Rfam family "Bacterial large subunit ribosomal RNA", at positions 657 to 1756 of the family's 2925-position model. Lineage: Bacteria; Pseudomonadati; Pseudomonadota; Gammaproteobacteria; Enterobacterales; Enterobacteriaceae. The record is from RNAcentral.
AUAGGGGAGCCGUAGGGAAACCGAGUCUUAACCGGGCGUUAAGUUGCAGGGUAUAGACCCGAAACCCGGUGAUCUAGCCAUGGGCAGGUUGAAGGUUGGGUAACACUAACUGGAGGACCGAACCGACUAAUGUUGAAAAAUUAGCGGAUGACUUGUGGCUGGGGGUGAAAGGCCAAUCAAACCGGGAGAUAGCUGGUUCUCCCCGAAAGCUAUUUAGGUAGCGCCUCGUGAAUUCAUCUUCGGGGGUAGAGCACUGUUUCGGCUAGGGGGUCAUCCCGACUUACCAACCCGAUGCAAACUGCGAAUACCGGAGAAUGUUAUCACGGGAGACACACGGCGGGUGCUAACGUCCGUCGUGAAGAGGGAAACAACCCAGACCGCCAGCUAAGGUCCCAAAGUCAUGGUUAAGUGGGAAACGAUGUGGGAAGGCCCAGACAGCCAGGAUGUUGGCUUAGAAGCAGCCAUCAUUUAAAGAAAGCGUAAUAGCUCACUGGUCGAGUCGGCCUGCGCGGAAGAUGUAACGGGGCUAAACCAUGCACCGAAGCUGCGGCAGCGACACUGUGUGUUGUUGGGUAGGGGAGCGUUCUGUAAGCCUGCGAAGGUGGCCUGUGAGGGUUGCUGGAGGUAUCAGAAGUGCGAAUGCUGACAUAAGUAACGAUAAAGCGGGUGAAAAGCCCGCUCGCCGGAAGACCAAGGGUUCCUGUCCAACGUUAAUCGGGGCAGGGUGAGUCGACCCCUAAGGCGAGGCCGAAAGGCGUAGUCGAUGGGAAACAGGUUAAUAUUCCUGUACUUGGUGUUACUGCGAAGGGGGGACGGAGAAGGCUAUGUUGGCCGGGCGACGGUUGUCCCGGUUUAAGCGUGUAGGUGUGUGUUCCAGGUAAAUCCGGUUCACUUUAACACUGAGGCGUGAUGACGAGGCACUACGGUGCUGAAGCAACAAAUGCCCUGCUUCCAGGAAAAGCCUCUAAGCAUCAGGUAACAUCAAAUCGUACCCCAAACCGACACAGGUGGUCAGGUAGAGAAUACCAAGUCGCUUGAGAGAACUCGGGUGAAGGAACUAGGCAAAAUGGUGCCGUAACUUCGGGAGAAGGCACGCUGACA